RNAcentral lists this non-coding RNA (166 nucleotides) under human gut metagenome. Its description in RNAcentral is "Lysine riboswitch". It matches the Rfam family "Lysine riboswitch aptamer". From Rfam's summary of the family: Riboswitches are metabolite binding domains within certain messenger RNAs that serve as precision sensors for their corresponding targets. Allosteric rearrangement of mRNA structure is mediated by ligand binding, and this results in modulation of gene expression. The record is from RNAcentral.
AAGAUAGAGGUUGCGUUUUUUAUCAGUAUCCAUUCGGAUGUCAAGGAGCAGAGGAAGAGUGGGGAAAGGAGAAAACGCCGAAAGGAGAUAUUACCUGAAGAUGUUUCCUUGGGCAUACAGUGAAUAAUUGUAUGACUGUCAUCAAUUAAGAUGGGGAGCUAUCGGA